AGAUUGAACGCUGGCGGCAGGCCUAACACAUGCAAGUCGAGCGGUAGAGAGGUGCUUGCACCUCUUGAGAGCGGCGGACGGGUGAGUAAUGCCUAGGAAUCUGCCUAGUGGUGGGGGAUAACGUUCGGAAACGGACGCUAAUACCGCAUACGUCCUACGGGAGAAAGCGGGGGACCUUCGGGCCUCGCGCCAUUAGAUGAGCCUAGGUCGGAUUAGCUAGUUGGUGAGGUAAUGGCUCACCAAGGCGACGAUCCGUAACUGGUCUGAGAGGAUGAUCAGUCACACUGGAACUGAGACACGGUCCAGACUCUACGGGAGCAGCAGUGGGAAUAUGGACAAUGGGCAAAGCCUGAUCCAGCCAUGCCGCGUGUGUAGAACGAAGGUCUUCGGAAUUGUAAAGCUAACGUUUAAGGUUGGGAGGUAAAGGGUUUGUAACUUUAAGUACGUUGACUAACGUUUGAACGUCUACGAACUAGAACUAAGCCUACCGGCUUAACUCGACGACCAGACCAGCCGUACG
RNAcentral lists this ribosomal RNA (520 nucleotides) under uncultured soil bacterium. Its description in RNAcentral is "bacterial SSU rRNA". It matches the Rfam family "Bacterial small subunit ribosomal RNA", at positions 26 to 490 of the family's 1533-position model. The record is from RNAcentral.